This 465-nucleotide ribosomal RNA is filed under the name uncultured bacterium. Its description in RNAcentral is "partial 16S ribosomal RNA". It matches the Rfam family "Bacterial small subunit ribosomal RNA", at positions 338 to 795 of the family's 1533-position model. The record is from RNAcentral.
CCUACGGGUGGCAGCAGUGGGGACUAUUGCGCAAUGGGCGAAAGCCUUACGCAGCGACGCCGCGUGAGGGAUGAAGGUCUUCGGAUCGUAAACCUCUGUCAGCAGGGAAGCACGGUCACUGUGCUAAUCAGCAGUGAAUUGACGGUACCUGCAAAGGAAGCACCGGCUAACUCCGUGCCAGCAGCCGCGGUAAUACGUAGGGUGCGAGCGUUAAUCGGAAUUACUGGGCGUAAAGCGCUCGUAGGCGGUAUGUCAAGUCAAGGGUGAAAUCCCCGCGCUCAACGUGGGAACUGCCUUUGAAACUGGCAAACUGGAGUGUGUGAGAGGAUAGUGGAAUUCGAGGUGUAGGAGUGAAAUGCGUAGAUAUCUGGAGGAACAUCAGUGGCGAAGGCGACUAUCUGGCACAUAACUGACGCUGAGGAGCGAAAGCGUGGGUAGCAAACAGGAUUAGAUACCCGGGUAGUC